Molecule: small RNA, 120 nt
Filed under: Cydia pomonella (codling moth)
Lineage: Eukaryota; Metazoa; Arthropoda; Insecta; Lepidoptera; Tortricidae
Description: CpSAT1 satellite sequence transcript
Source: RNAcentral
UCUAGGUCGAUGGUGUUCGUCAGGGCAAAUCUAUUGAGCCCAAACACGAUGGAGUUAUGAUGAGUAGAUUAGGAGUUCUGGUGACCAACUCCUGACUCCAUCAUGAGACCCUGAACAUCA